Molecule: ribosomal RNA, 478 nt
Filed under: uncultured bacterium
Lineage: Bacteria
Description: partial 16S ribosomal RNA
Rfam family: Bacterial small subunit ribosomal RNA
Source: RNAcentral
GACGAACGCUGGCGGCGUGCUUAACACAUGCAAGUCGAACGGUAAGGCCCUUCGGGGUACACGAGUGGCGAACGGGUGAGUAACACGAGGGUGAUCUGCCCUGCACUUCGGGAUAAGCCUGGGAAACUGGGUCUAAUACCGGAUAGGACCACUGCCUGCAUGGGUGGUGGUGGAAAGCUUUUGCGGUGUGGGAUGGGCCCGCGGCCUAUCAGCCUGUUGGUGGGGUGAUGGCCUACCAAGGCGACGACGGGUAGCCGGCCUGAGAGGGUGACCGGCCACACUGGGACGGAGAUACGGCCCAGACUCCUACGGGAGGCAGCAGUGGGGAAUAUUGCACAAUGGGCGCAAGCCUGAUGCAGCGACGCCGCGUGAGGGAUGACGGCCUUCGGGUUGUAAACCUCUUUCAGCACCGACGAAGCGCAAGUGACGGUAGGUGCAGAAGAAGGACCGGCCAACUACGUGCCAGCCGCCGCCGUAA